GACAGAGGGUGCAAACGUUGUUCGGAAUUACUGGGCGUAAAGCGAGUGUAGGCGGUCUGAAAAGUCAGGUGUGAAAGCCCUGGGCUCAACCCAGGAAGUGCACUUGAAACUGCCAGGCUAGAGUAUCGGAGAGGUUGGUGGAAUUCUCGGUGUAGAGGUGAAAUUCGUAGAUAUCGAGAGGAACACCGGUGGCGAAGGCGGCCUUCUGGACAGUGACUGACGCUGAGACGCGAAAGCGUGGGGAGCAAACAGG
RNAcentral lists this ribosomal RNA (253 nucleotides) under uncultured bacterium. Its description in RNAcentral is "partial 16S ribosomal RNA". It matches the Rfam family "Bacterial small subunit ribosomal RNA", at positions 524 to 776 of the family's 1533-position model. The record is from RNAcentral.